CCUACGGGAGGCAGCAGUAGGGAAUCUUCCGCAAUGGACGAAAGUCUGACGGAGCAACGCCGCGUGAACGAUGAAGGCCUUCGGGUCGUAAAGUUCUGUUGUUAGGGAAGAACAAGUGCUAGUUGAAUAAGCUGGCACCUUGACGGUACCUAACCAGAAAGCCACGGCUAACUACGUGCCAGCAGCCGCGGUAAUACGUAGGUGGCAAGCGUUGUCCGGAAUUAUUGGGCGUAAAGCGCGCGCAGGCGGUUUCUUAAGUCUGAUGUGAAAGCCCCCGGCUCAACCGGGGAGGGUCAUUGGAAACUGGGAAACUUGAGUGCAGAAGAGGAAAGUGGAAUUCCAAGUGUAGCGGUGAAAUGCGUAGAGAUUUGGAGGAACACCAGUGGCGAAGGCGACUUUCUGGUCUGUAACUGACGCUGAGGCGCGAAAGCGUGGGGAGCAAACAGGAUUAGAUACCCUGGUAGUCCACGCUGUAAACGAUGAGUGCUAAGUGUUAGAGGGUUUUCCGCCCUUUAGUGCUGAAGUUAACGCAUUAAGCACUCCGCCUGGGGAUACGGUCGCAAGACUGAAACCUNAAAAGGAUUGACGG
This 589-nucleotide ribosomal RNA is filed under the name uncultured bacterium. Its description in RNAcentral is "bacterial SSU rRNA". It matches the Rfam family "Bacterial small subunit ribosomal RNA", at positions 338 to 916 of the family's 1533-position model. The record is from RNAcentral.